This 300-nucleotide ribosomal RNA is filed under the name uncultured Alteromonadales bacterium. RNAcentral describes it as "bacterial SSU rRNA". It matches the Rfam family "Bacterial small subunit ribosomal RNA", at positions 115 to 419 of the family's 1533-position model. The record is from RNAcentral. Lineage: Bacteria; Pseudomonadati; Pseudomonadota; Gammaproteobacteria; Alteromonadales.
GCGUAGGAAUCUACCCAGUAGCGGGGGACAACAUGUGGAAACGCAUGCUAAUACCGCAUACGCCCUACGGGGGAAAGGGGGCGAGCUUGCUGCUCUCACUAUUGGAUGAGCCUGCGUAAGAUUAGCUAGUUGGUGGGGUAAAGGCCCACCAAGGCGACGAUCUUUAGCUGGUCUGAGAGGAUGAUCAGCCACACUGGAACUGAGACACGGUCCAGACUCCUACGGGAGGCAGCAGUGGGGAAUAUUGCGCAAUGGGGGAAACCCUGACGCAGCCAUGCCGCGUGUGUGAAGAAGGCUCUA